AUGUAACUAUGGAGAGGACUAGUAUAUUAACAUGUAACUAUGGAGAUGAGGUGGAGAGGACUAUAGGGAGUAUAUUAACAUGUAACUAUGGAGAGGACUAGUAUAUUAACAUGUAACUAUGGAGAUGAGGUGGAGAGGACUAUAGGGAGUAUAUUAACAUGUAACUAUGGAGAGGAGAUG
Molecule: long non-coding RNA, 180 nt
Organism: Oncorhynchus kisutch (coho salmon)
Lineage: Eukaryota; Metazoa; Chordata; Actinopteri; Salmoniformes; Salmonidae
Exons: 3
Source: RefSeq, a predicted model, not a curated record